This 120-nucleotide ribosomal RNA is filed under the name uncultured bacterium. Its description in RNAcentral is "partial 16S ribosomal RNA". The record is from RNAcentral.
GAUUACGCGAAGAACCUUAUCCCAGACUUGACAUGUUCGAAAGAGUUAGCAGGUAGAACCCGGAAACGGGGACGAACGGUAUCCAAUCCGGAAGCUAACACAGGUGAUGCAUGGCUGUCG